GCAAAGGCUGUGAGGAAGAGGAGUACGCAGGUAUGGCCGUCAGAGAGGACCGUCCAUUGGCUGAAAGGCGGUUUCGGUACAGACAGGCGGAAGGUGGCUUCGGAGCUGAAGCGCAGAAAGAAGAGUAAGCGCUUUCGUCGGAUCCGCGUUAAGGAGAAUGAGGCAUGGGACUUCCCAUGUGAACAAAGGUGGUACCGCGAGAUAUUCGCCCUUUGC
This 216-nucleotide non-coding RNA is filed under the name Lachnoclostridium sp. RNAcentral describes it as "T-box sequence". It matches the Rfam family "T-box leader". From Rfam's summary of the family: Uncharged tRNA acts as the effector for transcription antitermination of genes in the T-box leader family. T-boxes are found upstream of many aminoacyl-tRNA synthetase genes and some amino acid biosynthetic genes usually in Gram-positive bacteria. Lineage: Bacteria; Bacillati; Bacillota; Clostridia; Lachnospirales; Lachnospiraceae. The record is from RNAcentral.